AGCCAGGAGAAGGAAAUUCACAGGGUUAAUCACUCAGUUAAGGUGGGGCAAGAACAAAUCACCAUGGUGGAAUGUCAUCAGUUAAGGCGGGGCAGGGCCUUUUCAGUUCUUUUGUGAUUCUUCAGUUACUUCAGGCCAUCUGGGCGUAUACGUGCAAGUCACAGGGGAUGCGAUGGCUUGGCUUGGGCUCAGAGGCCUGACAUUCCUGCCUUCUUAUAUUAAUAAGAAAAAUAAAACAAAAUUGUGUUGAAGUGUUGGGGCGGUGAAAAUUUUUGGGGGGUGGUAUGGAGAGAGAAUGGGCGAUGUUUCUCAGGGCUGCUUCAAGCGGGAUUAGGGGCGGCGUGGGAACCUAGAGUGGGAGAGAUUAAGCUGAAGGGAGGUCUUGUGGUAAGGGGUGACAUUGAGGGGGUUGUUAGAAGAAACAUUUGUCAUACAGAAAGAUUGGUGAUGGCCUGGAUACGGUUUUGUAUGAACUGAAAAACUAAAUGGAAUAAGAGAAGGAGAAAAACAGGUAUAAAAGGACUAAGAAUUGGGAGGAUCUAGGACAUCUAAUUAGAGAAUGCCUAAGGAGGUUCAGCAUAGUCCUUCCAGCGAAGAUUAUUUAUUUACUUCAAGAGUUAAGAGUGGCAGUUUGGGGAUAGCAUGAGGAGAUAUCAGCCAUGAUGGCUUGGAGAAACAGUGUAAACUGGCAGUGUAAACAAGAGCAGGGCAUGUAUGAGUAGUUGAGAACGGAGAAUAGGAGUAUGACUAGACGGAAAAUAGUAGGGAUGACAAGUUUUUUUGGGGGCACAGUCUAAGUUGGUCUGGUGUCUGGGAUGAGACUGGGGCCUAAUAAAAAGGAGCUUAAAUGGACUGUACCUUGUAGCAUUCUGAGGACAGGUCUGACUUCUGAGAAGGGAAAGUGGUAAAAGUAUUGUCCAGUUCUUUUUAAGUUGGUGGCUGAGCUUGGUGAGGUGUGUUUUUAAAAGACCUUUAGUCCGUUCUACUUUUCUUGAAGACAGAGGACUAUAAGGGAUAUAAACUGAAAAACUGCUUGGCUAAUUUGACUAAUAAAGCCUGGUCUGUUAUCAGACUGUAUAGAGGUGGGAAGGCUAAACUGAGGAAUUAUGUCUGACAGAAGGGAAGAAAUGACUGCGGUGGCCUUCUCAGACCCUGUAGGAAAGGCCUCUACCUAUCUAGUGAAAAUGUCUACUUAGACUAAGAGGUAUUUUAGUUUUUGUGACUCGGGGCAUGUGGAGUAAAGCUAAUUUGCCAGUCCUGGGCGGGGGCAAAUCCUCGAGCUUGAUGUGUAGGGAAGGGAGGGGCCUGAAUGAUCCUUGAGGAGUAGCAGAAUAGCAGAUAGAAUAGCAGAUGGAACACUGAGAAGUUAUUUCCUUGAGGAUAGAUUUCUACAAUGGAAAGGAAAUGAGAGGUUCUAAGAGAUGGGCUAGUGGCUUGUAAUAUGGGGAAAUGGGGUGAAUGUCAGGUGGAUCAGAGAGAUGCAGUCAUGGGGAUCAGGUGUGGUAUCAGGAAUAAUGUGGGAGGCCAGAUUGAAGUCUGGGCCAGGAACAAUGGUAAUUGUGGGACUUAACAAAGAAUGAGUACAGCUGAAGGAGCCGGGGAGCAGAAAGUAUAUGCGUCAGGUAUGAGGAAGAAAAUAGAUUUUGGAAGUUAUGAGAAAUGUAGAGAGUGAGUUGAACAUAGUUUGUGAUUUUUAGGGCCUCUAAAAUUAUUAAAGCAGCGGCAGCUGCUGCAUGCAGACAUGAGGGCUAGGCUAAAACAGUAAGGUCAAGUUGUUUGGACAGAAAGGCUACAGGGUGGGGUCCUGGCUCUUGUGUAAGAAUUCUGACCGCACUAACCAUGCCUAGGAAGGAAAGGAGUUGUUGUUUUGUAAGGGAUUGAGGUUUGGGAGAUUAAUCAGACACCAUCAGCAGGGAGAGCACCUGUGUUUUUGUGAAGAAUUAUGCCGAGGGCUUCUGAGGCGAUCAGGCAGCGUCAGUCUUCAGCCACUAAGCCAAGAAGGAGUCAGUCAGAGAGCCUUGGGCCAGAGUUCCAGGGGCGCUGGGAGUGGCUGCCAGAAGACGAUGAUUCCAGAUGGAAAAAAUGGAAAUGUAAGAGGGAAUUAACAACACUGGAAUUAGUAAACCCAUGGGCUUCAUCCAUGUGCUAGUUCAGCCUGUGAGAUGCUGGUGAGCCCACCUCCAGGCACUCACGGACUCCCCACCCAUUGAGUGUGGCCUGGAUUUAGUGACUCAAUCAAACGUGACAGAGUGCUGGGGUGUCAUUUUCAAGACUGGGUUAUGUGAAGACUGCAGCCUCCAUCUGGGGUGCUCUCUCUUGGAUUGCUUGCUCAGGGAUGUGGGGAGAGCUGCUGUGCUGGGAGGCUGCCCAUGUGAGUUGACUUGGAUGUGAACCUUCUGUGGCCUGCCAAUAGCCACGUGAGUGACCUUGAAAAUGGAUCAGCCUUCACUCAAGUCUCAAGAUGACUGUGGUCUUGGCUGACAGCUUGAUUGCUGUCUCAUGGGGGACCUUAAACCAAAGGCACCCUGCUAAGCCACACACAGCUUCCUGGCCCACAGAAACUAUGAAAUAAUAACCAUUUCUUAUAUAAGCCUCCAAGUUUUGGGAGUAAUAUUUUGCACAGUGAUGGAUCACUAAUACAAGCCAGUCAUCAGUUGAAAGACACUGAAUUUAUUUCCAGUUUUAUGUGAUUAUGAAUAAUGUCACCAUAUGCAUUUGCAUACAGGUGUUUGUGUGGACACUGCUGUCAUUUCUCUUGGGAAGAUACUGAGGAGUCAGAUUGCUGGAUCCCGUGAAGAAUGUGCACCUGGGAUUGGCUCUUGCUUCCUAAGGAACCUCAAAAAAGCUGCAACCUAUUGGAGACUUUUGAUUCAGCAUCAAGGAUAUGCGUGAGACUUUGGUUCUUUUCUGUUGGGACACAGUUGAUUCUGACUGUCUUAAAGUUAGGCUUUUCUAAAGAUUUAGACUAAUAAAUUAUUUGAAUGGGACAACACACAUCAUUUGCUUUAUUAUACUUUAAAUAUGGCAGAACGGUGUAUUACCACCCCAAUCCCAAUCACCGGUACCUCCAUAGGCAGAGAUGUUAUCCUUAUUUUGCUGAAGAAGGAAUUAGGGUUACUCAGAGUCAUGCAGUUGGAAAGAGAUAGAAUGGAACUUUAACCUGUAUGUUCUGAUUAUUAUUCAGUCU
RNAcentral lists this long non-coding RNA (3187 nucleotides) under Homo sapiens (human). RNAcentral describes it as "HSALNT0206644". The record is from RNAcentral. Lineage: Eukaryota; Metazoa; Chordata; Mammalia; Primates; Hominidae.